Molecule: long non-coding RNA, 2798 nt
Filed under: Sus scrofa (pig)
Lineage: Eukaryota; Metazoa; Chordata; Mammalia; Artiodactyla; Suidae
Description: lncRNA (ENSSSCG00005025176.1)
Source: RNAcentral
UUUUUUUUUUUUUUGCUGUAUUAACCCCUUAUUGGUUAUAUCAUUUGCAAAUAUUUUCUCCCAUUCUGUAGGUUGUCUUUUCAUUUUGUUUAGUUGCCUUUGCUGUGCCAAAGCUUUUUAAUUUGAUGUAGUCCUGCUUAUUUUUGCUUUUGUUGCCAAAUUCAAAAAAUCAUCACCAAGGCUAUUAUCAAAGAGCUUAUCUUGUAUGUUUCGUUUAGGAGUUUUGUGAUUUCAGAUCCUUUAGUCCUGAAUGAUUCAUAUUUUUAAUCCACCUGGGGUUAAUUUUUUAUAUGGUAUAAGAUAGUAGUCCAGUUUCAUCCCUUUGCUUGUGGCUAUGCAAUUUUUCCUAACACCAUUUGUUGAAGAAACUGUCCUUUCCCCAUUGUAUAUUAUUGGUAGCUUUGUUGUAAAUUGAUCAUAUGUGCAUGGGUUUAUUUCUAGGCGCUCUAUUCUCAUUCAUUGAUCAUGUCUUUUUUGCUGAUGCCAUUCUGUUUUGAUUACUGUAGCUUUAAAAUAAAGUGUGAUGUUCCCCAGCUUGGUUCUUUCUCAAGAUUGCUUUGGCCAUUUGGGAACUUUAUUUCCAUACACAUUUUAGGAUUAUUUGUUCUAUUUCCGUGAAAAAUGCCAUUGGGAAUUUGAUAGAAAUUGCAUUAAAUCUUUAGAAUGCCUUGGGUAGUAUGGACAUUUAAAUAGUAUCGACCCUUCCAAUUCAUGAACACAAUAUAUCUAUUUAUUUGUGUCUUCAAUUUCUUUCAUAAACGUCUCACAGUUUUCAGUGUACAGGUCUUAACCUCCUUGUUUAAAUUUAUUCCUAAGUAUCUAUGGAGUUCCCCUCGUGGUGCAGUGGUUAACCAACUCGAAUAGGAACCAUGAGGUUGCGGGUUCGAUCCCUGGCCUUGCUCAGUGGGUGAAGGAUCUGGCACAGACGCAGUUCAGAUCCUGCAUUGCUUUGGCUCUGGCAUAUAGGCUGGCAGCUUCGCUACAUCUCCGAUUGGACCCCUCGCCUGGGAACCUCCAUAUGCUGCCGGUGCGGCCUUAGAAAACACAAAAAGACAUAAAAAAUUUUUUAUUUGUGCACAUCUUAUUCUUCCUGAUGCAAUUGCAAAUAGGAUUGUUUUUUUAAUUUCUUUUUCUGAUAGUUCAUUAUUAGUCUAUAGAAAUGCAACCGAUUUCUAUAUACUGAUUUUAUAUCCUACUUUACUGAAUUCAUUGAUGAGUUCUAAUUUUUUUUGGUGCAGUCUUUUAGGGUUUUUAAUGUAUAAUAUCAUGUUAUCUGCAAAUAGCAACAGUUUUACUUCUUCCUUUCUGAUUUGAGUGGGUUGUAUUUCUCUUUCUUGCCUCAUUGCUCUGGCUAGGACUUCCAAUGCCAUGUUGAAUAAAAGUGGCAGAAAUGGGCAUCCUAGCCUCUUUUCUGAUCUUAGAGGAAAAGCUUUCAUCUUUUCUCUUCUGAAUAUGAUGGUUGCUGUGGGCUUGUGAUACAUGGCUUUUAUUAUGUUGCGGGAUGUUGUCUCUAUACCCGCUUUGUUAAGACUGUUCACCAUAAAUGGAUGUUGCAUUUUGUCAGAUGCUUUUCUGCAUCUAUUGAGGUGAUCAUGUGAUUUUUACCCUUCCUUUUGUUAAUGUGGUGUAUCACACGUUGGUUUGUGGGUGUUUUACCAUCCCGAAUCCUUGGAAUAAAUCCUACCAGAUCAUGGUGUGUGAAUCUUCUAGUGGACUAUUGAAUUUGGUUCACUGAUAUUUUGAGGAUUUUCCCAUUAUGUUUAUCAGAGAUAGUGACCUCUAAUUUUCUUUUCUUGUGGUAUCUUUGAGUUUGGUAUUAAUGUAACACUGGCCUUGUAGGAUGAGUUUGGAAGUGUUUCCUCUUCUGCGUUUUGGAAGAGUCUGAGGAUUCGUAUGUAUUCUUUAAAUGUUUGAUUAGGGAUUCAGUUUUCUUCCUAGUUAUUGGUCUGCUUAGAUUUUCUCUUUCUUCAUGACUCAGUCCUGGUGUGUAAUUGUUUACAGUAGUCUGUCUCCCUUUUUCUUUCUUUCGCUUUUUUUUUAGGGCUGUAGCUGCGGCAUAUGGAGGUUCCCAGGCUAGGGGUCCAGUCAGAGCUGUAGCUGCCAGCCUGUGCCACAGCAACGCCAGAUCAGAGCUGCGUCUGUGACCUACACCAAAGCUAACAGCUAUGCCAGAUCCUUAACCCACUGAGCGAGGCCAGGGAUCAAAACUGUGUCCUAAUGGAUUCAAGUCAGAUUCAUUUCUGCUGAGCCACAACAGGAACUCCCCACCCAUUUUUUGAUGGGGUUGUUUGUUUUUUUGGUAUUGAGCGUCAGACGGUGUUUAUAUAUCUUGGAGAUUAAUACCUUGUCAGUCACUUCAUUUGCAAAUAUUUCCUCCCAUUCUGUGGGUUUUCUUUUCGUUUUGUUCAGGGUUUCCCUUGCUGCGCAAAACCUUUUAAGUUUAAUUAGGUCCCAUUUGUUUUUGUUUUUAUUGUCACUACUCUAGGAGGUGGAUUUAAGAAGAUAUUGCUGUGGUUUAUGUCAGAGAGUGUUCAGCCUGUUUUCCUCUAAGAGUUUUAUAGUAUCCGGUCUUUUUUUUUUUUGUUGACUUUUGUUGUUUUAAGGCCUCAUCCGUGGUAUAUGGAGAUUCCCAGGCUAGGGGUCUAAUUGGAGCUACAGCUGCCAGCCUGUGCCACAGCCACAGCCAUGCCAGAUGGGAGCUGCGUCUGUGACAUACACCACAGCUCACGGCAAUGCCAGAUCCCUAACCCACUGAGCGAGGUCAGGGAUCAAACCUGUGUCCUUAUGGAUGCUAGUCA